ACCUUUAUUUUGAAAUGUCUUCACGGCGCAUAACUGUUUGUGCACAUACUGUAUGUUCACAUCGUUUAAUGUUGUCACUAAUGAGAAUCUGGGAAUUACUGCACAAAAUGUAGAGGUUUUGCGAUUUUUCUUUCUAUGGUGUACAUGAUGAGAUACUUUUAACAUGCCGAUUUUGAAAAAAAAAAAACAUAAAAAAAAAAAAUGGCUAGCAUCACACGUUUAACCAAGUUGUGAAUUAGCCGUUUAUCCGACCAACCACGGAUCAGUCAAACCUCUGAAUACAAUAUAUCCUGUACUUUAAAGCAUGUGAUUUAACUACAAGCUAUUUAAUCAGCAACGUGGAAUGUACUUUAUCUUGAAUAACAGAAAAGAAUAUAACGCUGUAAACACGCGCGGAGUGAACACAUACAAGCAGCUCAGUGUAGUAGCAGGAGAAGUCGUCAUGGUUUUUCGCGCAUGCGCAGUGACGAGGAAAGCCAAGUCUCCGGAACCGGCAGGAACUCAGGAGCCGAAGAAACAACCUUUCCUGAAACCAUCCCACCCAGGCUGUUAAGUUCACACACAGCAGUGUAAAGAGGAGCAUUUGGUCAGGUGGUGUGAAAUGUAUGCGAACAAGACGUGUUGGAUUUUAACGGGAGCGACGGUAGCGUGUGUUCUCGCGCUGUACCUGCACCAUGUCCCGCGCGCUGUCGCUGGUGGAGACUCAGGAGAGUUGAUCACCGCUGCUUGUGAGCUGGGGGUGGCCCAUCCCCCUGGAUAUCCUCUCUUCACCAUGCUGGCCUGGCUGGCCCUGCAUCUGCUUCCUUCCACUUCUCCUGCACACGCCGUCAAUGUGCUGUGCGCUGUGCUGGGGGCCGUGGCUAGCGGGGCGCUCUGCUAUACCGUCUGCAGAAUGGCUGGGCCUGGUCCAGGAGCUGUGCUGGCAGGUGGAAGCUUCGCCCUAUCCAAACUCGUGUGGCGGUGGUCACUAGUGGCCGAAGUCUUCUCACUUAAUAACCUUUUCGUGGGGUUCCUUUUCUCCCUCUCAGCCUGCUUCCAUAAUGCAGAGACUGUGGACCAGAAGAAAAAGUUUGCUCUUUGGGGGGCGCUUUGCUGUGGAUUGAGUCUGUGCAACCAGCACACUCUGAUUGUGUAUGUGCUCAUCAUCAUUCCCUGGGCUCUGCUCCAGCUCUUCACUUACAAAGGGUUGUGUUUUUCAGCCCUAGUAUCUCUGGGUGUGUGUUUCCUCACGGGAUUCCUGCCAUAUCUCUACCUGCCCAUUUCCUCGUACUUAAACAAAGCUCGGUGGAGUUGGGGAGACCAGACGACCCUCGACGGCCUGCUUACACACCUGCUCAGGACUGAGUAUGGCACCUUCAGCCUGGCAAAAUCUGUGGGUAACGUUAACCUGGUGAAGAUGCUACAAGCUCAGUGUAAUCACUGUGUGGCUGACCUCUCUGUUCCUGUGCUCCUCUUAGCUGUAUUGGCUCUGCUGCACGCUUUAUGUAAUAGGAGAUGCCGUGCUUCUGUGUGCCUGAUUGCUGUUAUGGUGAGUGUCUAUUCUGUGUUCUUUGCCUGGAGAGCCAACCUGGACAUUGAGAAUCCCCUGCUGCUUGGAGUCGUGGAGCGGUUCUGGCUACAGGCUGACGCUGGUGUGUGCGUUCUGGCCGGUGUGGGGCUGAACUGGACAGUGUGUUUUCUGGAGAGAUGGCUGAGGCUGAGAUCUGUGUGGAACCUAGGAGCCUGGCUCAUCACUGCAGGACUUCUCUCACACACGAUUCACUUAAACCAAAGAGAGUUUGAUCAGAAUAGGAACGAUGUUGUGGAGAGAUUCGCCCGUGAGCUCAUUUUCUCAUUCCCAGAGAGCUCAUUGGUGCUGACCAGGGGUGACCUUCCUGGUAACACACUCCGCUACUUGCACUACUGCCAGGGCCUGCGGCCAGACCUCAGCCUCGUCGACCAAGAGAUGAUGACCUAUAGCUGGUAUGUGCCUAAGCUGCAACAGCAUCUUCCUGGAGUAAAGUUCCCUGGGCUAGUUUGGGAUCCAGUUAACACUGAACAGAAGAAUAGCUUUAACAUCGAACAGUUUAUCCAGCACAAUAUACACCGGCCUGUGUUUGUGUGCAUUGGCUUGACAGAAGGAGACCCAAGUUGGGAGAAGUCCUUCUCCCAUUGGCCAUGGGGGGUCUGUGAGCAGCUGAUGCCCCUUACAAGCAGCCUUUACCCUGUGGAGUGGGUACAGCGCACACAGAAUUUGUACAACUGGAGUGAGCCUUAUAAUAGCUUUCCUCCUGGCUCAUGGGAGCAAGUGGCCAAUGAGGAAAUGUGGCAGGCCAGGAUGAAAAUGGCAUUCUUCCUCUUUGACCUUGCUGAGAAGAUGGCGGGAGGAAGUCAGACUCAACUCUAUGAGCUCUCUUACAAUUUAUAUUGUCAAAUUGUGGAUGCCCAGAUGGACUAUCCUGCUAAUUGGGAUAAGAAUUUGGCUUUGGCUGCUGAGCGCUUGCUCCGUUUAGGAGGAGGACGUCAUGAUCUAGAGUCUCUUUUGAACCACAGUAUCCAGCACUUCAGCCGGUACAUUGAGAGAGAACCCACAGACCCUCAGAGCGACGCCAUCCGUUCCGCCAUCACACACCUCAGCAAGGAGAGAGACAUACUCAGAGACUCGCACAGAAAAACAGACCAUAGACCACUAUGAAACCUCAGAAAAACUUCAGAAAAUGUGAACCCUCUUUACCAUAUAUAGCUGUACUGUUUAAGGGAUUAGGAACAUCAACAAGAAAGGAAUUCCUGAUGCAGAGGCAGGUGGAAAUCAGGUGAAGGAAGCAGAGAGAAUGAAAGCAAACCAGCCAAUUUCAGUGAAAAUCAUACAGGGAUUGUGGGAACCCAUGGAAUCGCCGUGACCGCGGAUGCAGGCAGGGCGCCACGGCAACACUGGAAUGUGGGCCGCCUGAGCAGAUAAGAGUGGAGAGCCCAGCCAGCGGGUGGGGGGGGUGUUGAAGAGAGAAAGUAAGAGACGGAGAAAGAAGAGAGUACAGGGCUGGAGUCAAGAGCAUGAUGGGAUCAGAGUAAACAAACUGGUCAGUAGGGGUAUGGUCAGAAAGACAUUACUCAAAACACAACAAGGACAUAGAUCCAAAAGAACAGAGAGAGAAUGUGGCAGUAAAAUGCAAGCAAGAGCCAAAAGAGCACGCAAAAGAGAGUUGCAGUGGAACAGACACAUUACACAGUGGCAAUGGGAAGCCAGCCUUACUGCUCUUUGCAUUUCAUUUACAUCCCUGGCUGUAUCGACCAAUCGGAUUGGGAGCACAGCCUGGGGCUUAGGAGGAGAAUAAAAAGAAAAAAAUGCCUUAGCUGUACUCAUCCCUCCCUGAUAAUACCCCUUCUGUUUUUUUCUUUUUUUUCCCCCGCACCCGGAGAGGAGUUGAUACUGUCCGAAAUGCCAGAGAAGAAGCGACACCUCCGCUUGCUGUGCCUUGCUGAUAGACUGCGCCAGCGGCGUGUUAAAAAGAGGGCUUUAGCUGCAGGGCCUAUCUCCUCUCCUUCCACUAACUUGGGGGAAUGAGAGGGAAGGAGGGAGGGCGCAAAGAGGAAGGAGAGAGACUAUACAGAGCUAGCCACUGUUAUGGAGUUGACAUAAAACUUCGGCCACUUAUGCAGGUGUGUUUGUGUGGACAUGUAGAUUUGUACUUCAUACCACUGAUGAGCUGCAGGAGGGGGACAGAGGGCAUGGACAGAAAAUUGAAAGGCUAUGUGAUCCCUAUUUCAAUUCCAAAAGUCUGAAUUCAUCACAAAAGACUGCUUUUAUUUCAUGACUGUUAAAAAACAAAUGCAAAUUAAAGCUGCAAGCAGAGUUUAAAGGGGCCAAGCACCAAAGGCACAGCAAGCGCAAUGUAGAGCCUGAAGACCACGAAGAGGAGAAAUGGAAUGUACAUGAAUGAAUAAAAGGUAGGUCCAGAAGCACAGCUGAGAACAUUGAACAGGAAAUGAACAGAACAGAGGCAUUUAUUUGCAGGCCAGGAGGUUGAAAGGUUAGUGCAAUGCUGAGCCACAAAAGAAAGGACCCGAAAGACACAAGACUGCAACACUUUUCAGGACUGGCACCAGACAGGAUUCAAACUCAGGACCUUUAGAACUGGUGUUUGUCGUUUAUCACAGUGCACCACACAGAGAUCAUACGUUUGGUUUGGUGCUGAGGUGAGCUUCCAAGGUGAGAAUGAGCACACAAAAGCAUUAGUUAAAGUGUUAACAGAUACUGGAUCAUAACUUUUGAACAAAUAUAAAUAUCAAAAUUAUGUUCAAUCAUUUUUUUGCGACUGUCCACUGAUCAUCUGAGCCAAUUUUAGUAAGAAUUGGACAAAAGUUGAACGAGGAGUAAUGAAAAAACUGAAUACUGUACAAUUCAAAAUGGUGACUGCUGUAAUGGGUAGAGUCUUAAUGUAAGAUAUGGACUGUGAUCAGCAUGACGAGAGUAAUCUGAUUAACUAAAUUUCUUUUCUCUAGGACAAAGUGUUCAACAAUUAAUAACCAUUUGAAAAGUGAAUAUUUGAACUAAUGGUGCUGCUAUACAGUUGGUCCUAGAGAGCCCAUAAUUGGUCUGAGUACUAUUCAUGGUCAUAUCUGAGUGUGCCAAAUUUCAUCAUUUUCCUACUUAUGGUUCAUAGGGCUGGACUUGGACUCCCAGUGGCGAAGAAGCAGAAUAAUAAUACUAAAAAAACUAACAGAUACAAUAGGUUCUAAUUUUGUGCCACAUUAAGGAAGUGUGGUGCCAUUGAGGACACAGAGCCACAUUUUCAUAAUUUGCUGCCUCAGUGUGCGUCGGUCCUACCCGAGCUGUGGCCGUGUCUGAAUGCCAGCCUGGGGAGGAACAGCAGCCUACCUUCCACUGGGAAAAAAGAGAGAGAGAGAGAGAGAGAGACAGAGACUGUAAACAAGAGAGAGAAAAAGAGAACCAGAAUGAGUGCAAACUCUUGACUGUCAACACAGGGUAAUAGUGCAUUUUAGUACUGUCUUGUACCCCUGCACUUUUAUGCUGCCCAAAGUUAGAAAAUGUCCUUUUGGUGGAUAUUUAUCGACUGAACGUAGCUGAACAUUUUUGUUCCCAGUGCAUCCACUCAUUCUACAUUAGAACGUCUUCAGCAUGAGCAGUGAACAGUGCUCAUAUCCCCCCACCAUCCCAGCUGUAGUGAGGUAAAUGAUAAAUGCAUCAGUGAUAAGGAUUAACAAGGUUGGUUUACAUUGCAUAGUUUCAGUAGUUUAUGAUUCAUAAUGAUGACAAACAUUGAAACAGGGAUUGCUUCGUUGACAGCUUUUUUUUUUUUUUUUUUUUACCGUUUCUUGUGGAAAAUAUUUGUGAAAGGCUUAAAGGGAUGAAUCACAUUUUGAAAAGUUUACAUUUCCAGCCUGACAGACAGGAGCUAAUCGUGCCGUUGGGGGAACGUAGAGAAUGUGUCAUAAUGGCCGACACCAGCUAAUCUAAAAAGCUCCCCAUUUACAAAUGGAAAUCCCAGGAUCCAAUUGGGCUAAUGAAGAGAGUUGAGCAGGAUAAUAAGAUGUGCUGUAAUGCUGUGUAAAAGGCCUGUAAUGCUGUGUUGGUGGUGGAGCCUGUGUUGUGAGUUGUGUGUGACAGACUGAAGAGACUUCCAGAAGCCUGGAGGCCUGGCCGAUGUGCUCCGCUCUUCUGUGAGCUGAGAGCUGCCUGGUUAUUGCUGCUGGCCUGCUUAUUGCUGAGACUCUGGAUCCAAAUCUAACACCCUACAGUAUGAUCACGAAGUCUGAGUGCGCUCCCAGGAAGUAAUAAUUAUUUAAGCUGCUGGAAAUUACACUAAAUACACACACAUUGCUUUAUAUUUUUAAGCGUUGUGAAUCAGAUGCAGUACUUUAGACAAACGGUAACAUGUAUGUUUCCAAAAGUGGGUGUGAAUAGUUAUUUCUUAAUGACACCUGAUACUUUAUUGACAUAUAUAUCUAUUAGAACACUGGUUUUAAAAUUUAUUAAUACCUGGUGAAACCUCCUUUCCUGUAGACAGGAAGCUGUGAGCCUCUUCCCAGAAUGUUUAAAAGGGUUGAGAACACUUGAACAGAGAUCUUGGUCUAGUUCUCUAUGCAGAACAUCUCCUGGGUGAAUGCCUCCACCUUGCACCCAGUGUUGCUGGGAUAGGAUCCAGAUUAGCAGUGACCCUGACCAGAAUAAAGCUGUUACUGAAGAUGAAUGUUUAUGUAUAGUUUUAUAUCCAUUAACUGACUUGUACAUCUAUUGUUUAUUUUCUGUUAUUUUCUGGCUUUGAUUUUUCUCAAAAGAAUGGAUGUCUAAGGGAUUUUAUGUGUGCAAGGUAACAACAGAGUUUAUAGAGAUGGAGCAUUUAAAAAAACUUUUUCAAGGAUGACUACGUGCUAGAAUUUAUUUCAAAUAUUUUUAGAUGUCAAUAAUAUUUCCACUUAUGUUUAUAAUAGAAAAAUUGGUUCUAUUUUUAUAAUACAUUUUUUUUGUAAAGUAUUUAUUAUUUCCCAAUAAGUUAAGUACAAAAUUGUAAUCAUUAUGUAUAAUGUUUAUAAAACUAUUC
Molecule: RNA transcript, 6539 nt
Organism: Ictalurus punctatus (channel catfish)
Lineage: Eukaryota; Metazoa; Chordata; Actinopteri; Siluriformes; Ictaluridae
Gene: tmem260
Gene name: transmembrane protein 260
Exons: 18
Source: RefSeq, a predicted model, not a curated record